AGUGAAUGUCUUGUUAAUAUUAACAGAUUACAUCAUUCAAUCAUGUAAACAACACUGUCUUAACAGCAUCCGCCCAAAUCUCUGGCGACUUCUCUAAAGCUCAUUCCCAAUAUCAAAGUAAAAUGGCGAAUACGACUACGAGCCCCGACGGAGAUGGCGGAGAAAGCGGCGGUUCGGUUAGGGAGCAUGACAGAUACCUACCAAUAGCGAAUAUAAGCAGGAUCAUGAAGAGGGCGUUGCCUCCCAACGGAAAGAUUGGGAAAGAUGCUAAAGACACUGUCCAAGAAUGCGUCUCUGAGUUCAUCAGCUUCAUCACCAGCGAGGCAAGUGAUAAGUGCCAGAAAGAGAAAAGGAAAACUGUGAAUGGUGAGGAUUUGCUGUGGGCAAUGUCAACAUUAGGAUUUGAAGAUUACUUGGAACCCUUAAAGGUGUACCUUGCGAGGUACAGAGAGGUAAGUUACAUUUCACUUCUGCUUUUAAGCUCUUGCUACGUGAGACUGAUUCUGUCUUUUCAUUUACCUGUGUAUGUUGCUGAAACAAUCCUUCUGUUGCAGUUGGGAGGGGGAUAAUAAGGGCUCAGGAAAGAGCGGGGAUAGUAACAACAGAGAUGCAGCUGGGGGUGUUUCCGGUGAAGAGUUGCCGAGCUGGUGAGGCGAGAAGUUGCAAGUGAACUCUCUAGAGAUAAAGAACAACAUCAAAAUGAUCAAGGGAUAUUAGAGAUCAAUGAUUUGCCAUUAGAUUUGAGCUGGUCGACUACUUCUAUUUAGAGAUUCUAUUUCGGGUUUAUUGUCAGUUUCGGUUAUGUGAUCAUUUGAGAACUUUGGUUAUCUGUUUCCGGUUUAGUUGGUUGUAGUUGAAGAUAUAUGAGAAGUAUUUGAAAGAAGAAAAAGUUUCUCCACAAUCAUCUAUCAUCUCUUAACUUCGUUUAGUGGAUUUCAAAAACUGAAUGGUAACGCCAUAAUGUACAAGAUCUCAUGACCGACUGUUACAACUAUUAUGUUUUUUUUCUCUCUCGUCUUUGUAACCAGUGUUAUAGAAAUUUAAUACUAUCCAUAUACACUUUUCAUUAUCAAACUAUGGAUUAGAAACAAUUUACUGGAUCUA
RNA transcript from Brassica napus (rape), 1104 nucleotides. It is a transcript of the gene named nuclear transcription factor Y subunit B-1, with no coding region annotated. NCBI's taxonomy places the organism in Eukaryota, Viridiplantae, Streptophyta, Magnoliopsida, Brassicales, Brassicaceae. The transcript is spliced from 5 exons. The record is from RefSeq and is a predicted model, not a curated record.